RNAcentral lists this ribosomal RNA (411 nucleotides) under uncultured bacterium. RNAcentral describes it as "bacterial SSU rRNA". It matches the Rfam family "Bacterial small subunit ribosomal RNA", at positions 28 to 440 of the family's 1533-position model. The record is from RNAcentral.
GACGAACGCUGGCGGCGUGCUUAACACAUGCAAGUCGAGCGGUAAGGCCCUUUCGGGGGUACACGAGCGGCGAACGGGUGAGUAACACGUGGGUGACCUGCCCUCAGCUCUGGGAUAAGCCUGGGAAACUGGGUCUAAUACUGGAUAUGACUCCACGGUGCAUGUCGUGGGGUGGAAAGCCUUGUGCGGCUGAGGAUGGGCCCGCGGCCUAUCAGCUUGUUGGUGGGGUGANGGCCUACCAAGGCGACGACGGGUAGCCGGCCUGAGAGGGCGACCGGCCACACUGGGACUGAGACACGGCCCAGACUCCUACGGGAGGCAGCAGUGGGGAAUCUUGCGCAAUGGGCGAAAGCCUGACGCAGCGACGCCGCGUGCGUGAAGAAGGCCUGCGGGUUGUAAAGCACUUUCAGU